CCUACGGGAGGCUGCAGUGGGGAAUAUUGCGCAAUGGGCGAAAGCCUGACGCAGCGACGCCGCGUGAGGGAUGACGGCCUUCGGGUUGUAAACCUCUUUCAGCAGGGACGAAGGGUUUCUGACGGUACCUGCAGAAGAAGCACCGGCCAACUACGUGCCAGCAGCCGCGGUAAUACGUAGGGUGCAAGCGUUGUCCGGAAUUAUUGGGCGUAAAGAGCUCGUAGGCGGCUUGUCGCGUCGACCGUGAAAUCUCCAGGCUUAACUUGGAGCUUGCGGUCGAUACGGGCUGGCUGGAGUGCGGUAGGGGAGACUGGAAUUCCUGGUGUAGCGGUGAAAUGCGCAGAUAUCAGGAGGAACACCGGUGGCGAAGGCGGGUCUCUGGGCCGUUACUGACGCUGAGGAGCGAAAGCGUGGGGAGCGAACAGGAUUAGAUACCCCGG
RNAcentral lists this ribosomal RNA (440 nucleotides) under uncultured bacterium. RNAcentral's name for it is "bacterial SSU rRNA". It matches the Rfam family "Bacterial small subunit ribosomal RNA", at positions 338 to 790 of the family's 1533-position model. The record is from RNAcentral.